RNAcentral lists this ribosomal RNA (492 nucleotides) under uncultured bacterium. Its description in RNAcentral is "partial 16S ribosomal RNA". It matches the Rfam family "Bacterial small subunit ribosomal RNA", at positions 29 to 507 of the family's 1533-position model. The record is from RNAcentral.
AGUGAACGCUGGCGAUAGGCCUAACACAUGCAAGUCGAGCGGCAGCACAGUAAGAGCUUGCUCUUACGGGUGGCGAGUGGCGGACGGGUGAGGAAUACAUCGGAAUCUACUUUUUCGUGGGGGAUAACGUAGGGAAACUUACGCUAAUACCGCAUACGACCUACGGGUGAAAGCAGGGGAUCUUCGGACCUUGCGCGAUUGAAUGAGCCGAUGUCGGAUUAGCUAGUUGGCGGGGUAAAGGCCCACCAAGGCGACGAUCCGUAGCUGGUCUGAGAGGAUGAUCAGCCACACUGGAACUGAGACACGGUCCAGACUCCUACGGGAGGCAGCAGUGGGGAAUAUUGGACAAUGGGCGCAAGCCUGAUCCAGCCAUACCGCGUGGGUGAAGAAGGCCUUCGGGUUGUAAAGCCCUUUUGUUGGGAAAGAAAAGCAGCAGGUUAAUACCCCGCUGUUCUGACGGUACCCAAAGAAUAAGCACCGGCUAACUUCGUG